Diachasma alloeum is the source of this 881-nucleotide long non-coding RNA. RefSeq lists it as uncharacterized. Lineage: Eukaryota; Metazoa; Arthropoda; Insecta; Hymenoptera; Braconidae. The transcript is spliced from 3 exons. The record is from RefSeq and is a predicted model, not a curated record.
UCCGGAGUCUCUCGAACACUACUCACCCAUCUGACGCGCAAUGAAACUCAACCGCUUCCUGAAACACCGAGGCACAUGAUCCGCUACCACAUGCAACGAGAGCCUCUGCACAUGCUCGCGUCAAAUUACAUACAUGUGUAAGUGCGUUGAAUGAAAACUGAGUUUAUCUUCGAACGAACUCCGCUCGGCGAGAAAAAAAAGGCGUUAUCGUGUCACGUGUCUGGUCAGCAUCCCUAUCAGUUAUUUCAAUGUCCCAGUGUCUCGUGGUGGAACGUCACGACGAGGGAAAUUGCAUAAGGGGGGAAAUUGCAUAUUUCUCACCGGUUGGAUGAAAAUUCUGGUGCGGUGCUUCUCGGGCUCUGGUUUGAGCCCCACGACCCCAUCGAGUAGGCUUGGAUCAGCGUCCAAGAAGUGGGGCAGUGAGACGGCUGCGGGGAUAUCUGAGAAUUGGGAGAAUAUGAACGAGUUAAUGGGAGUAAUUUCCAUGAAUGAAUCUACCACCUGUGUCCCACAUUCAUGACUACCUUGGCUCACAUUCAGUUUCCAAUAAAUUCCUGAUGGACACGCGAUCGUGAAGGAUCGAAGAAAAAAGGAUUGAAGACAUGGCUGAUGAGACAAUGAUUGCAGUUGUUGUCAUCGCGUGGUAAAUGCUUGGAAAUCAUCGAUGGGUUCAGUGAUGCUUCAGGGAGUGAGAAUGUUCAGAUGCAGGGAGAUGGUGGUGAUGGAUUGUUGGACGAGGGAAGCGAUGACCGGCCUUGGUAAUUAGGAGGUUGGUGAGAGGAUAGGUGAGAGAUGGGAUUUUUUCGGGGAUUAGCCAAUUAAUUUAAUUGGUCGGCUGAUUGAUCUUUCAUCGGGGGAGGUCAAUGUCGAAGGUUGAAAAU